GACAUAGGUGGCGAACGUUAUCCGGAAUUAUUGGGCGUAAAGGAUGCGUAGAUGGUAGAAUAAGUUACUGGUCGAUGCCAAACUCAAUUUGACGGAAGCUGGUAAUACUGUUCUGCUAGAGGGCAGGAGAGGUUGAUGGAAUUCUGUGUGGAGCGGUGAAAUGCGUUGAUCUACAGAGGAACACCAAAAGCGAAGGCAGCUCUCUGGGUCCCUACCGACGCUGGGGUGCGAAAGCAUGGGGAGCGAACAGG
Molecule: ribosomal RNA, 251 nt
Filed under: uncultured bacterium
Lineage: Bacteria
Description: partial 16S ribosomal RNA
Rfam family: Bacterial small subunit ribosomal RNA
Source: RNAcentral